AGAAUCAACGCUGGCGGCGUGCCUAACACAUGCAAGUCGAACGAGAAAGUGGAGCAAUCCAUGAGUAAAGUGGCGACCGGGUGAGUAACACGUGACUAACCUACCUUCGAGUGGGGGAUAACAUCGGGAAACCGAUGCUAAUACCGCAUAACAUCGCAAGAUCAAAGCAGCAAUGCGCUUGAAGAGGGGGUCGCGGCUGAUUAGCUAGUUGGUAGGGUAAUGGCCUACCAAGGCUUAGAUCGGUA
RNAcentral lists this ribosomal RNA (245 nucleotides) under uncultured bacterium. RNAcentral's name for it is "partial small subunit ribosomal RNA". It matches the Rfam family "Bacterial small subunit ribosomal RNA", at positions 26 to 285 of the family's 1533-position model. The record is from RNAcentral.